RNAcentral lists this ribosomal RNA (258 nucleotides) under uncultured bacterium. Its description in RNAcentral is "partial 16S ribosomal RNA". It matches the Rfam family "Bacterial small subunit ribosomal RNA", at positions 793 to 1050 of the family's 1533-position model. The record is from RNAcentral.
GUCCACGCCGUAAACGAUGUCUACUAGCCGUUGGGGAACUUGAUUCUUUAGUGGCGCAGCUAACGCACUAAGUAGACCGCCUGGGGAGUACGGUCGCAAGAUUAAAACUCAAAUGAAUUGACGGGGGCCCGCACAAGCGGUGGAGCAUGUGGUUUAAUUCGAUGCAACGCGAAGAACCUUACCAUCCCUUGACAUCCAGAGAAUUUUCUAGAGAUAGAUUAGUGCCUUCGGGAACUCUGAGACAGGUGCUGCAUGGCU